AAACAACCACCUAUGUAUUGGAUCUUUGGCAGUUUUUUGCCCCCAAUACCACUUUUGAUUUAGUCUUCGCUGACGUGACACCCACAAUGGCCGACACGUGGCACCUCACUUAAGGGAUGUGGGUGUCACGUCAGCGAAGACUGAGUCAAAAGUGAUAUUGGCGGCCAAAACUGCAAAAGAUCCAAUAUAUAGGGGCUAUUU
Medicago truncatula (barrel medic) is the source of this 201-nucleotide microRNA precursor. It matches the Rfam family "MIR2619 microRNA precursor family". The record is from Rfam. Lineage: Eukaryota; Viridiplantae; Streptophyta; Magnoliopsida; Fabales; Fabaceae.